GAUGAACGCUGGCGGCGUGCCUAAUACAUGCAAGUCGAGCGAACAGAUAAGGAGCUUGCUCCUUUGACGUUAGCGGCGGACGGGUGAGUAACACGUGGGUAACCUACCUAUAAGACUGGGAUAACUUCGGGAAACCGGAGCUAAUACCGGAUAACAUUUGGAACCGCAUGGUUCUAAAGUGAAAGAUGGUUUUGCUAUCACUUAUAGAUGGACCCGCGCCGUAUUAGCUAGUUGGUAAGGUAACGGCUUACCAAGGCAACGAUACGUAGCCGACCUGAGAGGGUGAUCGGCCACACUGGAACUGAGACACGGUCCAGACUCCUACGGGAGGCAGCAGUAGGGAAUCUUCCGCAAUGGGCGAAAGCCUGACGGAGCAACGCCGCGUGAGUGAUGAAGGGUUUCGGAUCGUAAAACUCUGUUAUUAGGGAAGAACAAAUGUGUAAGUAACUGUGCACGUCUUGACGGUACCUAAUCAGAAAGCCACGGCUAACUACGUG
RNAcentral lists this ribosomal RNA (497 nucleotides) under uncultured bacterium. Its description in RNAcentral is "partial 16S ribosomal RNA". It matches the Rfam family "Bacterial small subunit ribosomal RNA", at positions 28 to 507 of the family's 1533-position model. The record is from RNAcentral.